GAGGUUGUGGCUCAGUGGUACAGUUCUCACCUAGCAUGUGCGUGGCCCUGGGUUUGAUCCUCAGCACCACA
RNAcentral lists this transfer RNA (71 nucleotides) under Marmota monax (woodchuck). Its description in RNAcentral is "tRNA.Ala". The record is from RNAcentral. Lineage: Eukaryota; Metazoa; Chordata; Mammalia; Rodentia; Sciuridae.